RNAcentral lists this unclassified non-coding RNA (406 nucleotides) under soil metagenome. RNAcentral describes it as "partial contains 5.8S ribosomal RNA, internal transcribed spacer 2, and large subunit ribosomal RNA". The stretch from base 1 to 121 matches the Rfam family "5.8S ribosomal RNA", at positions 35 to 154 of the family's 154-position model. The record is from RNAcentral.
GAUUAAGAACGUAGCGAAAUGCGAUAAGUAAUGUGAAUUGCAGAAUUCAGUGAAUCAUCGAAUCUUUGAACGCACCUUGCGCCCUUUGGCCAUUCCGAAGGGCAUGCCUGUUUGAGUAUCAUGAACACCUCAACUCUUCAUGGUUUUCCGUGAUGAGCUUGGACUUUGGGGGUCUUGCUGGCCUAUGGUCAGCUCCUCUAAAAUAAAUCAGCUUGCCAGUGUUUGGUGGGUAUCACAGGUGUGAUAACUAUCUACGCUUGUGGUUUUCCACCAGGUAACCUUCAGCAGUGGAGGUUCGCUGGAGCUCACAGAUGUGUCUCUCCUCAGUGAGGACAGCUCUUUGAAUGUUUGAUCUCAAAUCAGGUAGGACUACCCGCUGAACUUAAGCAUAUCAAUAAGCGGAGGA